CGCUGGCGGCGUGCUUAACACAUGCAAGUCGAACGGAGAGGCCCUUCGGGGUACUCGAGUGGCGAACGGGUGAGUAACACGUGGGUGAUCUGCCCUGCACUUCGGGAUAAGCCUGGGAAACUGGGUCUAAUACCGGAUAUGACCUCAGGAUGCAUGUCUUGUGGUGGAAAGCUUUUUGCGGUGUGGGAUGGGCCCGCGGCCUAUCAGCUUGUUGGUGGGGUCACGGCCUACCAAGGCGACGACGGGUAGCCGGCCUGAGAGGGUGACCGGCCACACUGGGACUGAGAUACGGCCCAGACUCCUACGGGAGGCAGCAGUGGGGAAUAUUGCACAAUGGGCGCAAGCCUGAUGCAAGCGACGCCGCGUGAGGGACGACGGCCUUCGGGUUGUAAACCUCUUUCAGCACAGACGAAGCGCGAGUGACGGUAUGUGCAGAAGAAGGACCGGCCAACUACGUGCCAGCCGCUGC
RNAcentral lists this ribosomal RNA (469 nucleotides) under uncultured bacterium. Its description in RNAcentral is "bacterial SSU rRNA". It matches the Rfam family "Bacterial small subunit ribosomal RNA", at positions 34 to 518 of the family's 1533-position model. The record is from RNAcentral.